UACGGGGGGAGCAAGCGUUGUUCGGAUUUACUGGGCGUAAAGGGCGCGUAGGCGGUCGUGACAAGUCACUUGUGAAAUCUCCGGGCUUAACUCGGAACGGUCAAGUGAUACUGUCGGGCUAGAGUCCGGAAGAGGCGAGUGGAAUUCCCGGUGUAGCGGUGAAAUGCGCAGAUAUCAGGAGGAACACCGGUGGCCGAAGGCGGGUCUCUGGGCCGAAAACUGACGCUGGAGGAGCGAAAGCCGUGGGGAGCAAACAGGA
RNAcentral lists this ribosomal RNA (259 nucleotides) under uncultured bacterium. Its description in RNAcentral is "partial 16S ribosomal RNA". It matches the Rfam family "Bacterial small subunit ribosomal RNA", at positions 524 to 777 of the family's 1533-position model. The record is from RNAcentral.